RNAcentral lists this transfer RNA (26 nucleotides) under Bison bison (American bison). RNAcentral's name for it is "partial tRNA-Thr". The record is from RNAcentral. Lineage: Eukaryota; Metazoa; Chordata; Mammalia; Artiodactyla; Bovidae.
GAGUCUUAGGGAGGUUAGUUGCUCUC